Molecule: ribosomal RNA, 253 nt
Filed under: uncultured bacterium
Lineage: Bacteria
Description: partial 16S ribosomal RNA
Rfam family: Bacterial small subunit ribosomal RNA
Source: RNAcentral
UACAGAGACCUCGAGCGUUAUCCGGAUUUAUUGGGCGUAAAGAGCAUGUAGGCGGGUAUGUUAGUCAGAUGUCAAAUCUCCGAGCUCAACUCGGAAACUGCAUUUGAAACGGCAUAUCUUGAGGAAGGGAGAGACCAGUGGAACGUAUGGUGUAGCAGUGAAAUGCGUUGAUAUCAUACGGAACACCAAAGGCGAAGGCAUCUGGUUGGCCCUUUUCUGACGCUGAGAUGCGAAAGCGCGGGUAGCGAAUGGG